GGAUGAACGCUGGGCGGCGUGCCUAACACAUGCAAGUCGAACGAAGCACUUCGAUUUCUUCGGAAUGAAAAAGUGACUGAGUGGCGGACGGGUGAGUAACGCGUGGGUAACCUGCCUCAUACAGGGGGAUAACAGUUAGAAAUGGCUGCUAAUACCGCAUAAGCGCACAGUACCGCAUGGUACCGUGUGAAGAACUCCGGUGGUAUGAGAUGGACCCGCGUCUGAUUAGCUGGUUGGCGGGGUAACGGCCCACCAAGGCGACGAUCAGUAGCCGACCUGAGAGGGUGACCGGCCACAUUGGGACUGAGACACGGCCCAA
This 319-nucleotide ribosomal RNA is filed under the name uncultured bacterium. Its description in RNAcentral is "bacterial SSU rRNA". It matches the Rfam family "Bacterial small subunit ribosomal RNA", at positions 27 to 334 of the family's 1533-position model. The record is from RNAcentral.